This 261-nucleotide ribosomal RNA is filed under the name uncultured Herbaspirillum sp. RNAcentral describes it as "partial 16S ribosomal RNA". It matches the Rfam family "Bacterial small subunit ribosomal RNA", at positions 355 to 606 of the family's 1533-position model. Lineage: Bacteria; Pseudomonadati; Pseudomonadota; Betaproteobacteria; Burkholderiales; Oxalobacteraceae. The record is from RNAcentral.
UGGGGAAGUUUUGGAUCAAUGGGCAACCGUACGAUCCAGCAAUGCCGCGUGAGUGAAGAAGGCCUUCGGGUUGUAAAGCUCUUUUGUCAGGGAAGAAACGGUAGUAGCGAAUAACUAUUACUAAUGACGGUACCUGAAGAAUAAGCACCGGCUAACUACGUGCCAGCAGCCGCGGUAAUACGUAGGGUGCAAGCGUUAAUCGGAAUUACUGGGCGUAAAGCGUGCGCAGGCGGUUGUGUAAGUCAGAUGUGAAAUCCCGCC